Molecule: ribosomal RNA, 762 nt
Filed under: Escherichia coli
Lineage: Bacteria; Pseudomonadati; Pseudomonadota; Gammaproteobacteria; Enterobacterales; Enterobacteriaceae
Description: partial 23S ribosomal RNA
Rfam family: Bacterial large subunit ribosomal RNA
Source: RNAcentral
UCCUGACUGACCGAUAGUGAACCAGUACCGUGAGGGAAAGGCGAAAAGAACCCCGGCGAGGGGAGUGAAAAAGAACCUGAAACCGUGUACGUACAAGCAGUGGGAGCCUCUUAAUGGGGUGACUGCGUACCUUUUGUAUAAUGGGUCAGCGACUUAUAUUCUGUAGCAAGGUUAACCGAAUAGGGGAGCCGAAGGGAAACCGAGUCUUAACUGGGCGUUAAGUUGCAGGGUAUAGACCCGAAACCCGGUGAUCUAGCCAUGGGCAGGUUGAAGGUUGGGUAACACUAACUGGAGGACCGAACCGACUAAUGUUGAAAAAUUAGCGGAUGACUUGUGGCUGGGGGUGAAAGGCCAAUCAAACCGGGAGAUAGCUGGUUCUCCCCGAAAGCUAUUUAGGUAGCGCCUCGUGAAUUCAUCUCCGGGGGUAGAGCACUGUUUCGGCAAGGGGGUCAUCCCGACUUACCAACCCGAUGCAAACUGCGAAUACCGGAGAAUGUUAUCACGGGAGACACACGGCGGGUGCUAACGUCCGUCGUGAAGAGGGAAACAACCCAGACCGCCAGCUAAGGUCCCAAAGUCAUGGUUAAGUGGGAAACGAUGUGGGAAGGCCCAGACAGCCAGGAUGUUGGCUUAGAAGCAGCCAUCAUUUAAAGAAAGCGUAAUAGCUCACUGGUCGAGUCGGCCUGCGCGGAAGAUGUAACGGGGCUAAACCAUGCACCGAAGCUGCGGCAGCGACACUAUGUGUUGUUGGGUAGGGGAGCG